RNAcentral lists this transfer RNA (73 nucleotides) under Marmota monax (woodchuck). Its description in RNAcentral is "tRNA.Ala". The stretch from base 11 to 68 matches the Rfam family "tRNA", at positions 8 to 63 of the family's 71-position model. From Rfam's summary of the family: Transfer RNA (tRNA) molecules are approximately 80 nucleotides in length. Their secondary structure includes four short double-helical elements and three loops (D, anti-codon, and T loops). The record is from RNAcentral. Lineage: Eukaryota; Metazoa; Chordata; Mammalia; Rodentia; Sciuridae.
GGUGGAAACAUAGCUCAGUUGGUAGAGUGCUUGCCUUGCAUGCACAAGGCCCUGGGUUCAAUCCUCAGCACCA